This 253-nucleotide ribosomal RNA is filed under the name uncultured bacterium. RNAcentral's name for it is "partial 16S ribosomal RNA". It matches the Rfam family "Bacterial small subunit ribosomal RNA", at positions 524 to 776 of the family's 1533-position model. The record is from RNAcentral.
UACGUAGGGGGCAAGCGUUGUCCGGAUUUAUUGGGCGUAAAGAGCGUGUAGGCGGCCUGACAGGUCUGCUGUGAAAACUCGAGGCUCAACCUCGAGAUGUCGGCGGAAACCGUCUGGCUAGAGUCCGGAAGAGAAGAGUGGAAUUCCUGGUGUAGCGGUGAAAUGCGCAGAUAUCAGGAAGAACACCUAUGGCGAAGGCAGCUCUCUGGGACGGUACUGACGCUGAGACGCGAAAGCGUGGGGAGCGAACAGG